Molecule: ribosomal RNA, 2080 nt
Filed under: Clostridioides difficile
Lineage: Bacteria; Bacillati; Bacillota; Clostridia; Peptostreptococcales; Peptostreptococcaceae
Description: bacterial LSU rRNA
Rfam family: Bacterial large subunit ribosomal RNA
Source: RNAcentral
UUGGGGUUGCGGACAUAUCAUAACGAAGAGGUAUCGUAAUUGAAGAGGUUUGGAAAGACCCACCACAGAAGGUAAUAGUCCUGUAUGUUAAACGAGAAGACUUCAGAUAUGAUCCAGAGUACCACGGGACACGUGAAACCCUGUGGGAAGCAGGAGGGACCACCCUCCAAGGCUAAAUACUACCUAGUGACCGAUAGCGUAUAGUACCGUGAGGGAAAGGUGAAAAGAACCCCGGGAGGGGAGUGAAAUAGAACCUGAAACCCUGCACUUACAAGCUGUGGAAGCACAUUUCUUGUGUGACCGCGUACUUUUUGUAGAACGGGCCAACGAGUUACGUUAAGUAGCAAGGUUAAGCACUUAAGGUGCGGAGCCGUAGCGAAAGCGAGUUUUAACUGAGCGUUCAGUUACUUGACGUAGACCCGAAACCGGGCGACCUACCCAUGAGCAGGAUGAAGCGAAAGUAAAAUUUCGUGGAGGUCCGAACCCACGAGCGUUGAAAAGCUCGGGGAUGACUUGUGGGUAGCGGUGAAAUUCCAAUCGAGCCCGGAGAUAGCUGGUUCUCCCCGAAAUAGCUUUAGGGCUAGCCUCAAGGUGAGAGAUACGGAGGUAGAGCACUGAAUGUCCUAGGGGGUAUUGCACCUACCGAAGACUAUCAAACUCCGAAUGCCGUCAUCUUAUACUUGGGAGUCAGACUGUGGGUGAUAAGAUUCAUAGUCGAAAGGGCAACAGCCCAGAUCGUCAGCUAAGGUCCCUAAAUGUAAGUUAAGUGGUAAAGGAUGUGGGAUUGCACAGACAACCAGGAUGUUGGCUUAGAAGCAGCCACUCAUUCAAAGAGUGCGUAAUAGCUCACUGGUCGAGUGAUCCUGCGCCGAAGAUUUCCGGGGCUAAAACUUACUACCGAAGCUACGGCAUCAGUAAUGAUGGGUAGGGGAGCUUCCCAUACGGGUUGAAGCAUGACCGUAAGGACAUGUGGACAGUAUGGGAGUGAGAAUGUUGGCAUGAGUAGCGAGAUGUGGGUGAGAAUCCCACAGGCCGUAAACCCAAGGUUUCCAGGGGAAGGUUCGUCCGCCCUGGGUUAGUCGGGACCUAAGCUGAGGCCGAAAGGCGUAGGUGAUGGACAACAGGUUGAUAUUCCUGUACUACCGAUAACCGUUUGAGAGAAGGGAUGACACAGUAGGAUAAGCUAAGCACACUGUUGGUUAUGUGUGCCCAAGCAUUGAGGCAGUCAAAGUAGGCAAAUCCGCUUUGAUAAUGCUGGGAUGUGAUGGGGAGCGAAAUUUAGUAGCGAAGUAGCUGAUUUCACACUGUCAAGAAAAGUCUCUAUCGAGGUUAAAGGUACCCGUACCGCAAACCGACACAGGUGGGUGAGGAGAGUAUCCUAAGGCCAGCGAGAGAACUGUUGUUAAGGAACUCGGCAAAAUGACCCCGUAACUUAGGGAUAAGGGGUGCCACCAUCAGGUGGCCGCAGAGAAUAGGCCCAAGCGACUGUUUACCAAAAACAUAGGUUUCUGCUAAGUCGCAAGACGAUGUAUAGGAGCUGACGCCUGCCCGGUGCUGGAAGGUUAAGGGGAUCUGUUAGAGCAAUCGAAGCAGUGAACUUAAGCCCCAGUAAACGGCGGCCGUAACUAUAACGGUCCUAAGGUAGCGAAAUUCCUUGUCGGGUAAGUUCCGACCCGCACGAAAGGCGUAACGAUUUGGGCACUGUCUCAACAACAGACUCGGUGAAAUUGUAAUUCCGGUGAAGAUGCCGGAUACCUGCGACAGGACGGAAAGACCCCAUGGAGCUUUACUGUAGCUUGACAUUGGGUCUUGGUACUACAUGUACAGGAUAGGUGGGAGGCUUUGAAACCAGGACGCCAGUUUUGGCGGAGCCAUCCUUGGGAUACCACCCUUGUAGUACUGGGACUCUAACCAUAGGCCAUGAAUCUGGUCUUGGGACACUGUCAGGUGGGCAGUUUGACUGGGGCGGUCGCCUCCCAAAAGGUAACGGAGGCGCUCAAAGGUUCUCUCAGUACGGUCGGAAAUCGUACGUAGAGUGUAAAGGCAAAAGAGAGCUUGAUUGCAAGACAUACAGGUCGAG